This 231-nucleotide unclassified non-coding RNA is filed under the name fungal sp. RNAcentral's name for it is "partial internal transcribed spacer region". The stretch from base 1 to 48 matches the Rfam family "Eukaryotic small subunit ribosomal RNA", at positions 1784 to 1831 of the family's 1831-position model. The record is from RNAcentral. Lineage: Eukaryota; Fungi.
AAAAGUCGUAACAAGGUUUCCGUAGGUGAACCUGCGGAAGGAUCAUUAACGAAUACGGUCGUAAGACCAAUUCAUCCUUUACACACCUGUGAAAUUUUAAUUAACCUUUUGCUUUGGUCGAUUAAUUUCGGCCAAAGGAUUUUAUCAAACACUUUAUUAUAAACCUUGCAGUCUGAAAUUGAAAAAAUUUUAAAUUAAUCAAAACUUUCAACAACGGAUCUCUUGGUUCUC